Molecule: ribosomal RNA, 373 nt
Filed under: uncultured bacterium
Lineage: Bacteria
Description: bacterial SSU rRNA
Rfam family: Bacterial small subunit ribosomal RNA
Source: RNAcentral
ACGUAGGGGGCAAGCGUUGUCCGGAAUCAUUGGGCGUAAAGCGCGUGUAGGCGGCUUGAUAAGUCCGGUGUGAAACCUUGGGGCUCAACCCCAAGCCUGCAUCGGAUACUGUCUCGCUCGAGUUCGGGAGGGGAGAGCGGAAUUCCUAGUGUAGCGGUGAAAUGCGCAGAUAUUAGGAAGAACACCAGUGGCGAAGGCGGCUCUCUGGAACGAUACUGACGCUGAGACGCGAAAGCGUGGGGAGCGAACAGGAUUAGAUACCCUGGUAGUCCACGCCGUAAACGAUGGGCACUAGAUGUGGGCGGUGUCGACUCCGCCCGUGUCGCAGCUAACGCACUAAGUGCCCCGCCUGGGGAGUACGGCCGCAAGGCUA